GUUAUUUUUUUAGUGGAUCUGGGCGCUUAGGGUUUCAACCAAAUAACUGCCCUCCCAAAAUUCUAAUCCCUGCUUCUCACCCUCUACCCGGCCUUCAAAGAACUCUGGCUCCCAUUGGAGAAAUGGUCGACCACGACCAUAACGGAAUCCUUUUGACGCUGGGCACGGGUAAUCCGGUGAUAGAAUCGAGGCUAACAUCCUCCCAAGGAGCAACUGGUUCUGGAAGUGGCAUGUAUAAUCCAUGGGGAGAAGACUGACCUUUGGCUAACUAAGCCUCUUGGAGAAGCAAUUUCACCUUUCAGGAGAUUGAACCUGCAGGUUUUGGAUCGGAACGGGGUCGGUUCGGGUCGGGUUUCGGGCCGACAUGGGUUUCUGCACGGGACGGGUUUCAGAUCGCAACGGAUUUUGGGCCGACACGAGUUUCCGCACGAGGCGAGUUUCGGGUCGGGACGAGUUUUGUACCGUUUCGACCCGUACCUGAAAUUCCCUCAAUUUUCAUCGAAAACACUUGCCUGAUUUGAAGAGAUUUGGCAAAAACUACUGUAUGGAAGUGUUGUCCCUCUUUUGAUAUAUUCUGUGAUGGAGACUUCACAAGAACUAGCCAUCGGUCCAGUAGCUGUGGUGUCGCUGCUCAUAUCAUCAAUGAUCUCAAAACUCGUUGAUCCUGCUGCUGAUCCUGUUUCCUACAGAAAACUUGUUUCACUGCCACAUUCUUUGCCGGCACCUUCCAAGCACUUUUUGGAAUUUUAGGUUAGAUUUUCUUAUCGAUUUUCUAUCGCAUGCGGCCAUUGUAGGAUUUAUGGCGGGUACGGCCAUUGUUAUAGGUCUUCAACAACUCAAGAGCUUACUCGGGAUCGGUCAUUUUACUACAAAAACUGAUGUCGUCUCUGUGUUGGAAGCUGUUGUUAAUUAACUUCGCACUUCAUGGUAUCCUUUGAAUUUUGUUCUUGGAUGUUUGUUCCUUAUAUUCAUCCUCAUUACCAGAUUUAUUGUGAGUAGUCUUUACUUUAUUGUGAAUUGAUAAAGUGGAUGAUGUAUUAAUAGUACCUUAAGUUGAUCAAUGAUGAAAUUAACUCCAGGGAAAAAAGAACAAGAAACUAUUCUGGUUACCAGCCAUUUCUUUGGUUAUAUCAGUCAUUAUAUCCACCUUGAUAGUAUAUCUAACAAGAGCUAAUGAACAUGGGUUGCUGUA
Long non-coding RNA from Helianthus annuus (common sunflower), 1192 nucleotides. RefSeq lists it as uncharacterized. The transcript is spliced from 6 exons. The record is from RefSeq and is a predicted model, not a curated record. Lineage: Eukaryota; Viridiplantae; Streptophyta; Magnoliopsida; Asterales; Asteraceae.